CUUUUUCUUUUGAGACAGAGUCUCUCUCUGUCACCCAGGCUGGAGUGCAGUGGCACAAUCUCGACUCACUGCAACCUCCACCUCCCAGGUUCAAGCAGUCCUCCUGUCUCAACCCCCCAAGUAGCUGGGUUUACAGGUGAGCAUCACUGCACCUGGCUAAUUUUUGUAUUUUUAGUAGAGAUGGGUUUUCACCACGUUGGCCAGGAUGACAUCGAACUCCUGACCUCAAGGGAUCCAUCUGCCUCAGCCUCCAAAACUGCUGGGAUUACAGGCGUGAGCCACUGUGCCUAGCCCAAAAAUUCUUCUUAGGGGUUAAAUGAAAACUUUAGUUGAGGUAAAGUUGAAAGAGUUUUAAAGAUAAAUAACUAAACUAUUUAGAAAUUAUUAAAAUGAAGGAUGAAGAGUGAGGAGGAGGAUGUUCAGAGAGACCAGUAAACAUGUGCUUAGACAUGUUUUAAAAAUCUGAGCUGGGCAUAUGGCUCACACCUGUAAUCUCAACUACUUGAGAGGCUAAGGCAGGAGGAUCCAUCAAGGCCAGUAGUUCAAGAUGAGUGUGGGCAACACAGUAAGAACUCCUCCCCGUGACAACAUCUCUAAAAAAUAAAGAAAACAAUAAGAUGCUGACCAAGUGUGGUGUUGUCCAUAUAUAACCCCAGCUACUCAGGAGUCUGAGGAGAGAAGAUCACUUGAGCCCAGGAGUUCAAGGCCAGCCUGGGCAACAUGGUGAGACUCUGCCUCUAAAGAAUAAAAUAGGCCAGGCAUGGUGGUUCAAAGGGCUAGGGCAAAAAAAGAAAGUUAAAAAAAAAAAACUUCUUGCAUAGUUGUCUAGCAGAGUCAAAGAUAUUAUUAUUGUAGGAGAGAAGUAUCUUUUGCUUUAAAGACAGAGUCUCCCUUUGUCACCCAGGCUGGAGUCCAGUGGCAAAAUCAUAGCCCACUGCAGCCUUGAUCUCCUGGCCUCAAGAGUUCCUCUUGCCUGGAUCCUCCCUCUUAGGCCUUCCAAGUAGCUGAUUCUACAGGUGCCAAACACCAUGUCUAGCUGAGGAGUAUCUUUCAAAAAUGGAAAAGAAUGAGGACACCACAAAAUUGUAAUAGGAGGUACAGACUAAAAGUUGCUUUUGCGAUAACGUUGCUUUUGCAAGACACAGAGCCAAGGAGUUUAAAAAUAACUCAGAAAAGGAAUAAGAAAGCUGUUGUCCAAAUUUGUGGCCUCUGAUUUUGGCUGGCCACUGGGUUGCAGGAAAAAUGAGCUGCAAGUGUGGUUUGUGUUCAUGAAAAGGCCUUCAGAAAGGACCUUAGGUAAUAACAGUUAUGCACAAUCAUGUAGUAUAUAUAAUAGUAAUAAAGAUACUCUCAUUGUUAAUAUCAAUAUUUACAUAGACCUUUGUUAUGCUUAGUAUUAUAUAUAUUUGGCACUGUCCUAAGCAUUUUAGUGUUUGAACUCAUUUUGUCUUCACAGUACCCCUAAGAAGCAAGCACUGUUAUCAGCUCUGUUUCACAGAUAAGAAAAAUGAAGCACAGGAAGGUUGAGUAAUGUCUCAGAUUUCUAAUGUCACAUAGCUAGUAAGUGACAGAGCCAAUUUGUAUCCAGGUUACUUUACUCUGGAAUUCAUGCUGUUAACCACUGUAUUAUACUGCCUUUACAGCCAAAAUAUCCCCUCAGGCAGUAGUUCACAAAGUGUAUUCCUUUCAAGAAGUCUAGGAAGUCAAAAUUAUUUUCAUAAUAAUGCGAAGAUUUUCUUUCUUUUUUUUUUUCCUUUUUUUUCAGAAUCUUGCUCUGUUGCUUAGGCUAGAGUGCAGUGGUGCAAUCUCCACCUCCCAGAUUCAAGUGAUUCUCAUGGCUCAGCCUCCUGAGCAGCUGGGAGUACAGGCAUGUGCUACCACACCCAGCUAAUUUUCAUAUUUUUUUGGUAGAGACAGGCUUUUCCAUGUUGGCCAGGUUGGUCUCAAGUUCCUGGUCUCAAGUGAUCUGCCUGCCUUGGUCUCCCAAAGUGCUGGGAUUACAAGUGUGAGCCAUGGUGCCCUGCCUAAUAUCAAAUUUAUUUGUUUGUUUUGCCUGUUUUGCUUUCAUUCUGAAUAUGCAGAGGAGUUUUCCACAGGGUACAAGACAUGUAAUAGCAUCGUCACUCUAAGAGCUAACAGAAAAUGUGCUUGUAUAGUCUUGUAUUUUCUAGAAGGUGGAUGAUAAUAAACUUCUGGGAGUUAAAAGAACUUGUUCUAACCCAAUGUAAAAAAACUAAGAACUCUGAAAAAAGGUUUGACAAAAUGCUAACAAGAAUAGACAAUAUAGAGAGGAAUAUAAAUGAACUAACGGAGUUGAAAAACACAACACGAGAACUUAGCAAAAUAUGCAAAAGUUUGAAUAGCCGAAUUGAUCAAGCAGAAGAAAGGAUAUCAGAGGUCGAAGACCAACUUAAUGAAAUAAAACGAGAAGACAAGAAUAGAGAAAAAAGGAUAAAAAGAAAUAAGCAAAGUCUCCAAGAAAUAUGGGACUAUGUGAAAAGAACUAAUUUACAUUUGAUAGGUGUACCUGAAUGUGACAGAGAGAAUGAAUCCAAGCUGGAAAAUACUCUCCAGGAUAUUAUUCAGGAAAACUUUCCCAAUCUAGCAAAGCAGGACAAUAUUCAAUCCCUGGUAAUACAGAGAACACCACAAAGAUAUUCCUCAAGAAGAGCAACCACAAGGCACAUAAUUGUCAGAUUCACCAGGGUUGAAAUGAGGGAGAAAAUACUAAGGGCAGCCAGAGAGAAAGGUCAGGUUACCCACAAAGGGAAGCCUAUUAGACUUACAGCAGAUCUCUCAGCAGAAACCCUACAAACCAGAAGAGAGUGGGGGCCAAUAUUCAACAUCCUUAAAGAACAGAACUUUCAGCCCAAAAUUUCAUAUCCUGCCAAACUAAGCUUCACAAUUGAAGGAAAAAUAAAAUCUUUUAUGAACAAGCAAGUACUCAGAGAGUUUAUUACCACCAGGCCUGCUUUGCAAGAGCUUCUAAAAGAAGCAUUAUACAUAGAAAGGAACAACCAGUAUUAGCCUUUCUAAAAAUAUACCAAAAAGUAAACAGCAUCAACAUAAAGAAGAAUUUAUAUCAAUGAAUGGAUAAAACAGCCAGUUAACAUCAAAUGGCAGUAAUCCUAAAUUUAAGUCGACUAAAUCCCCCAAUCAAAAGAUACAGCCAAAACCUAAUGAUAUGCUGCAUCCAGACCCAUUUCACAUCCAAAGAUACACAAAGACUCAAAACAAAGGGAUGGAGAAAGACUUACCAACCAAAUGGAGAGCAAAAAUAAAUAAAUAAAUACAUAAAUAAAUAAAUAAAAAGCAAGAGUUACAAUUCUCGCAUCUGAUAAAAUAGAUUUCAAAGCAACAAAGACAUAGUGGUAAAAGGAUCAAUGCAACAAUAAGAGCUAACGAUCCUAACACCCAGAUACAUAAGACCCAUAAAGAGAUUUAGACUCAACAAGACAGAAAAUUGAUGAGGACAACCAGGACUUGAACUCAGAUCCGGAACAAGUAAACUUAAUAAAUAUUUAUAGAGCUCUCCAUUUUAAAUACACAAAGUAUACAUUCUCCACUUUAAAUACACAAAAUAUUGAUUGGCCAUUAUUAAUAAUACCCAUUUUUAGAAUAAAGCAAUAUUCCCGUUUUCUCUCCCUCUUUUUCUUCCUCUUUCUUCCUCUCCUUCACUCCUUUUUUUCUCUUUAAAAAAAAAAAAAAGAAGAAAAGAAAAAAAAAUACAAAACUUAGCCAGGCGUAGUGGCGUGCCUCUGUAGUCCCAGCUACUCAGGAGGCUGAGGCAAGAGGAUCACCUGAACCCAGGAGGCGGAGGUUGCAGUGAGCUGAGAUUGCACCAUUGCACUCCAGCCUAGGAAACAGGAGAAAAAUAGGCAGAGGACCUGAAUAGACGUUUCUCAAAAGAAGACCUACAAAUUGUCAACAGGUAUAUGAAAAAAUGCUCACUGGCCAGACGUGGUGGCUCACACCUGUAAUCCCAGCACUUUGGGAGGCUGAGGCAGGUGGAUCACGAGGUCAGAAGUUAGAGACCAUGCUGGCUAACACAGUGAAACCCCAUCUCUAUUAAAAAUACAAAAAAUUAGCUGGGCAUGGUGGCAUAUAUCUGUACUCCCAGCUACUCAGGAGGCUGAGGCAGGAGAAUCUCUUGGACCUGGGAGGUGGAGGUUGCAGUUAGCCAAGAUUGUGCCACUGCAUUCCAGGCUGGGCGACAAAGCGAGACUCCAUCUCAAAAAAAAAAAAAUGCUCAACAUCCCAUUAGUCAGUGGGGAAAUGCAAAUUAAAACCACAGAAAUUGCUAUCACCUCACACCUGUUAAAAUUGCUGUUAUCAAAGACAAAGGUGUUGGUGAGAAUGUGAAGAGAUAAUAACCAUUGCACACUGUUGGUGGAAAUGUAAAUUAAUACAGCCAUUAUAGAGAAGAGUAUGUAGGUCUGUAUUAGUCCUUUCUCCCACUGCUAUAAAGAAGUACCUGAGACUGGGUAAUUUAUAAAGAAAACAGAUUUAGUUGACUCACGGUUCGGCAGGCUGUACAAGAAGCAUGGCUGGGGAAGCCUCAGGAAACUUACAAUCAUGGUAGAAGGUGAAGGGGAAGCAAGCAUGCUGGAGAAAGAGAAAGAAAGUGAAGGAGGACAUGCUACACACUUUUAAACAACCAGAUCUCGCAAAAACUCACUAUCACAAGAACUGCAAGAGGGAAAUCCACCCCCAUGAUCAAUCACCUCCCACCAGGCCCAUCCUCCAACACUGAAGUUUACAAUCCCAUAUGAGAUUUAGGUGGGAACACAGACCCAAACCAUAUCAAGGUCCCUCAAAAAUGUAAAAAUACAAUUACCGUAUAUUCCAGCAAUUCCUCUUCUGGGUAUAAAUUCAAAAGAAUUGAAAUCAGGAUAUCAAAGAGAUAUUUGUGUGCACCUGUGUUCAUGGUAGUACCACUCACAUGGAAGUAACCAAGUGCUAUCCAUGGAUUAAUGGAUAAACAAAAUGUGGUGUAUAUAUACAACUGAAUACUACCGAGCCAUUAAAAAGCAGGAAAUCCUGUCAUUUGAAAAACAUGGAUGAACCUGGAGGAUAUGAUGUUAAGUUAAAUAGGCCAGGCACAGAAAGACAAAUCUCACAUGAUCUCAUGCAUGUGGGGAAUCUUAAAAACAUUAAACUCAUGGAAGUAGAGAGUAGAAUGGUGGAUACCAAGGGCUAGUGCUAUGGUAGAAAGGGAGCUAGGGAGAUGUUUGUCAAAGGAUACAAAAUUUCAGUUAGGAGAAAUAAGUUCAAAUAUCUAUUGUACAGCAUGGUGACUACAGUUGAUAACAAUACAUUGUAUUCUUGAAACAUUUUAAGGGAGUUAAUUUCAAGUGUUCUCACCACAAAAUGACAACUAUGUGAGAAAUUCCAGGUUAAUUAGCUUGAUUUAGCCAUUCCACUAUAUAUAUAUCGUGUUGUACAUAUACAAUGUUAUCUGUCAAUUUAAAAAAAACACUGUUUUUUUUCUAUCAUGGUAUUGCCUCUUUUAUUUGCUCUCCUUCUAUGUCAGUGGGAGUUAGGUCUAAUCAUAUAUAAUGGAAAACCCAAAUUUAAGCAGCAUAUAUAAAAUAGGAUUUGUUUUCUUCUAUAUGAAAGAAGUGGCCGGGCGCAGUGGCUCACGCCUGUAAUCCCAGCACUUUGGGAGGCCAAGGCGGGUGGAUCACCAGGUCAAGAGAUAGAGACCAUCCUGGCCAACAUGGUGAAACCCCAUCUCUACUAAAAAUGCAAAAAAAAUUAGCUGGGCGUGGUGGCACACCCCUGUAGUCCCAGCUACUCAGGAGGCUGAGGCAGGAGAAUUGCUUGAACCCAAGAGGCGGAGGUUGCAGUGAGCCGAGGUUUCACCACUGCACUCCAGCCUGGCGCCUGGUGACAGAGUGAGACUCUGUCUCAAAAAAAAAAAAAAAAAAAAGUCCAGAAGUAGAUAUAGUUCCAGAUAGUCACUAGGGACCCAGGCUCCUUCUGUCUUCCUGCUCUGCCAUUCUUAGGGCAAAACUUCCAUCCUCAAGGUCACUCAUGACCCAGCAUGGCAAUUCUAACUGCAGUCUUCAUUUUAUCUUAGUUCCAGAGAGGAAAAAGGAGAAAGUAGGGGGCAGGGAGUGCCAAAGGAAAUAAAUCCCCAGCUUUUUUCCACACCAUUGCCCUAAAAAUAUUUUUAUUAAUUACCUUCAUUUCCCUGUAUUUCAUAUUAAAUGUUCUGUUCUCAUCUGAACUCUCAGCGACAUGUGAUAUACUUGACCUCACCACACUUUUUGAAAGAAUGCUUUCAUCUGGUAUCAGAGACUCCACAUUCUUCUUGUUUCUUUGUACUUCAUUGGCUACUUCUUCUUAGUCUUCUUUGUUGGAUCCUCCUUGUCUUCCCAAUUUAAAUAUCAAUUGCCUCUGGCUUCAUUUCUUGCUCCUCUCUUUUAUAUACACUGUUUCCCUAAUGAUCUCAUCCAGGCCCAUGAUGUUAAAUACUUAUGUUGCUGCCUUUCCUCGCCGCCUGCCAAGGGCUCCAGAUGGCAUUGUUCUGGAUUGCUCUUUUCUUUCAGAUUCCCAUCAUAAAGGGAAACUUUCACAAUGUCCAGAGCCUUUGAUGUCCUGCAAAUGAAGGAGGAGGAUGUCCUUAAGUUCCUGGCAGGCAGCAGAAACCCAUUUAGGUGGCACCAACCUUGACUUCCAGAUGGAACAGUAUAUCUACAAAAAGAAAAGUGAUGGCAUCUACAUCAUAAAUCUGAAGAGGACCUGGGAGAAGCUUCUCCUGGCAGCUGGUGCCAUUGUUGCCAUUGAAAACCCUACUGAUGUCAGUGUUAUAUCCUCCAGGAAUACUGGCCAGAGGGCCGUGCUGAAGUUUGCUGCUGCCACUGGAGCCACUCCAAUUGCUGGCCACUUCACUCCUGGAACCUUCACCAACCAGAUCCAGGCAGCCUUCCAGGAGCCACGGCUACUUGUGGUUACAGACCCAGGGGCUGACUACCAGCCUCUCACGGAGGCAUCUUAUGUUAACCUACCUACCAUUGCUCUGUGUAACACAGAUUCUCCUCUACGCUAUGUGGACAUUGCCAUCCCAUGCAACAACAAGGGAGCUCACUCAGUGGGUUUGAUGUGGAUGCUUGGCACAUGCAUGGCACCAUUUCUUGUAAACACCCAUGGGAGGUCAUGCCUCAUCUCUACUUCUACAAAAAUCCUGAAGAGAUUAAAAAAGAAGAGCAGGCUGCUGCUGAAAAGGCUGUGACCAAGGAGGAAUUUCAGGGCGAAUGGACUGCUCCAGCUCCUGAGUUCACUGCUACUCAGCCUGAGGUUGCUGACUGGUCUGAAGGUGUGCCAGUACCCUCUGUGCCUAUCCAGCAGUUCCCUACUGAAGACUGGAGCACACAGCCUGCCACGGAAGACUGGUCUGCAGCUCCCACUGCUCAGGCCACUGAAUGGGUAGGAGCAACCACUGAAUGGUCUUAAGCUGUUCUUGCAUGGGCUCGUAAGCAACAUGGAAAUAAGAUUGAUGGAAAAUAAACAUUGAGUUUCUAAAAAAA
Molecule: non-coding RNA, 7532 nt
Organism: Callithrix jacchus (white-tufted-ear marmoset)
Lineage: Eukaryota; Metazoa; Chordata; Mammalia; Primates; Cebidae
Source: RefSeq, a predicted model, not a curated record